This 253-nucleotide ribosomal RNA is filed under the name uncultured bacterium. RNAcentral describes it as "partial 16S ribosomal RNA". It matches the Rfam family "Bacterial small subunit ribosomal RNA", at positions 524 to 776 of the family's 1533-position model. The record is from RNAcentral.
UACGUAGGGUGCAAGCGUUAAUCGGAAUUACUGGGCGUAAAGCGUGCGCAGGCGGUGAUGUAAGACAGAUGUGAAAUCCCCGGGCUCAACCUGGAAACUGCAUUUGUGACUGCAUCGCUGGAGUGCGGCAGAGGGGGAUGGAAUUCCGCGUGUAGCAGUGAAAUGCGUAGAUAUGCGGAGGAACACCGAUGGCGAAGGCAAUCCCCUGGGCCUGCACUGACGCUCAUGCACGAAAGCGUGGGGAGCAAACAGG